Monomorium pharaonis (pharaoh ant) is the source of this 2253-nucleotide long non-coding RNA. RefSeq lists it as uncharacterized. Lineage: Eukaryota; Metazoa; Arthropoda; Insecta; Hymenoptera; Formicidae. The transcript is spliced from 3 exons. The record is from RefSeq and is a predicted model, not a curated record.
UUUUUAAAUAUUUAUUCUAAUCUUUAAUUCUUAAAAUGUUUUUUCUAAAAAUACAAGCAAAUGUUCCAGAGAUUCAGAGAUAUACAGACAAUACAUGAUUUCAAGUAAUAAUAUCCUGUUAAAUUUUAUGAAUAUUUAAUAAAUAAUAACACAUAUUUAUAAUUUUAUUACUUAUCUUUCAAUAAUUUAAAAAUUCUUUAUAUCCUUUGGAUUUAACCACCUUCUGUGCAAACCACCAAUUACUUUAAUAAUAUAAAAUUAUAUUAUGUAUUACAUAUCAUAAUUAUUAAUUUUAUAAAUUCUUUAUUUAUAUAUACUCACGUUUUAUUGCACAAAGAAGAAACGCACCAACCAGCACAAGGUUAAAAAUCCUUCACCUAUAAAUUAAUGUAAAAUUAUUAACAUCAAACGCAGUAAAAUAAAAUUCAAACUAUAUUAAUCUGUCUGUUUUAUCAAUAAUAUAAACUUUAAUAUAAACUUUAAUAUAAAUUAACCUAGACAUGUCAUCAAGAAGAUUUUUAUUAUAAAUUAACUACAAAUAGACAUUGACCGACACAAAUACCUAGACAUGUCAUCAAGAAGAUAUCGAAGAAGCAUUAAGAAAGAAUAAUACACAUCCUAAUUCCCUUUUUAAAUAAUCAUAUUCUGUAUUUCCAGAUUUUUGACAUAUCCAAAAAUUUGUAUCGGUCAAUGUAUUUAUAAAAUAACGUGAACGUUAUAAAAUAAUGUAUAAAAUUACCUUCUUAUCGCUGAAAACUACAAUCUUUUCGUCAUACGAAUAAUGCAAGCCACUACCGUGUCUCCUCACAAUAACAGAUACAAUCACUAACAAUAAAAUUAAUGAUUGAUCGUACACAACCACUUUCAGAAAACGCGUUAUCAGCGCCAUGAUGUCAGAAAGUACAUGCACUCUUUCUGAUUAUCGACUUAAAAAAUCCCUGUAACACCAUAUAUCAUCUAAAAGUCACGUGAGUCGCAAGUGGCUCGCUCGCGCCAACUUGCUCAUGCCACCUGCUCGCUCGCGCCACGCGCCAGCUCACGUCAAGUGAUAUGUAGUGUAUUGAUGGGUUACUGGGUCACUAGUGGCUCGCUCGCUUCACGCGCCAACUCACGUCAAGUAAUAUGUCUACCAUGCAUUCGGGAUACGCUAUUAGCGUUAUCAGUGUCAGCCUAUCUUCAUAAAAAACAAAAAUAAACUUGCUGACAGCGCUAAUAGCGUCUCCCCAAAUGCAUCUAUAGCGUGAGAUUGUUUUGAGGUAACUACUAAAACACUCUAUUUUGUCAAACAAAGAUGCACUUCUCGAAAAAAUUAGUACACCCACGAAAAAAGAAACAUAAAAGAGGAUUACAAAAGUACAAAUAUUUCAAGACGCAAAGCAUUUGCAUUGUGUAAUCAAUUAUCUUUUCUUGACAAUUUCAUUAAAAGAAAAAGAUGCACCUUUUUAAAACGUUGCCCAUGUGAAACGCCGAUGAUAAAGUUAUUUCAUCGUUUUUGAGUGACUACCAUACAUCAGUAAUUAAAUUUUUCAGAAGUGCUAAGUAAAUAAAGGAGAAACGUUUUAAUAAAUCCAAAUUAAAUAAUAUAUGCCAGAUUUUGUAAAUACAAAAAUUCAAGCAAUUAUUUACGUCGCUGGUCGUUGGUCGCACUCGUUGGCUGCCUAGGCUCUUGUUGUAGCUCCUGCUUGCUCGUCCAGUUGUAAGCUCGGCCCCGGUUCUGGGUUGGAUCACUUUCGUUCUAGUUGCAAGCCCAAUAUCGGUUGUGAACUCGACCUCGACGUCCGGUUCUUUUGUCGUUCUUGUGCAAAUACAAUUAAUUUGUAAUAAAUAUAACAUUUUUAUUCAAUAAAUAGAUUGUAUUAUAUUUAUUCUUUGCAUAAACACCUUUACAAAAUUAUGUUGUCACACCAUACUUUGCCUGUAUCUAUAUUAAAAUAUACUUUAAUUUUAUAUUUUAGACAGGCACGUUUCGCUAUCUAUCUUAUGAUAAAACGUCACGCUCUUUUUGCAUUAGAAUAUCAUUUAUACUGUUACACCACUUGUAAAUAUGUUUCCAACAUUAACGUUGUAUGAUGUACGUAAGACACUGUUCAUUUUUAGUGUUAAUAGAUCCUCGGUGAUCACAAAUUAGGACAUUCUUACGUAUACUACAUUUCUUUGAUACGUAAUUAUUAAGAAUAUUUGCUGCAAUAAAGUUGCAAAUGUCAAGGUAAUCACGCGUUGUAUCAAAGAAAGAUAUUAUAUUAAUUUCUCCAC